This 1334-nucleotide ribosomal RNA is filed under the name uncultured bacterium. RNAcentral describes it as "partial 16S ribosomal RNA". It matches the Rfam family "Bacterial small subunit ribosomal RNA", at positions 28 to 1381 of the family's 1533-position model. The record is from RNAcentral.
GAUGAACGCUGGCGGCGUGCUUAACACAUGCAAGUCGAGCGAUGAAGUUUCCUUCGGGAAACGGAUUAGCGGCGGACGGGUGAGUAACACGUGGGUAACCUGCCUCAUAGAGUGGAAUAGCCUUCCGAAAGGAAGAUUAAUACCGCAUAAUGUUGAAAGAUGGCAUUAUCAUUCAACCAAAGGAGCAAUCCGCUAUGAGAUGGACCCGCGGCGCAUUAGCUAGUUGGUGGGGUAACGGCCUACCAAGGCGACGAUGCGUAGCCGACCUGAGAGGGUGAUCGGCCACAUUGGGACUGAGACACGGCCCAGACUCCUACGGGAGGCAGCAGUGGGGAAUAUUGCACAAUGGGGGAAACCCUGAUGCAGCAACGCCGCGUGAGUGAUGAAGGUUUUCGGAUCGUAAAGCUCUGUCUUUGGGGAAGAUAAUGACGGUACCCAAGGAGGAAGCCACGGCUAACUACGUGCCAGCAGCCGCGGUAAUACGUAGGUGGCGAGCGUUAUCCGGAUUUACUGGGCGUAAAGGGAGCGUAGGCGGAUGAUUAAGUGGGAUGUGAAAUACCCGGGCUCAACUUGGGUGCUGCAUUCCAAACUGGUUAUCUAGAGUGCAGGAGAGGAGAGUGGAAUUCCUAGUGUAGCGGUGAAAUGCGUAGAGAUUAGGAAGAACACCAGUGGCGAAGGCGACUCUCUGGACUGUAACUGACGCUGAGGCUCGAAAGCGUGGGGAGCAAACAGGAUUAGAUACCCUGGUAGUCCACGCCGUAAACGAUGGAUACUAGGUGUGGGGGUUUCAACACCUCCGUGCCGCCGCUAACGCAUUAAGUAUUCCGCCUGGGGAGUACGGUCGCAAGAUUAAAACUCAAAGGAAUUGACGGGGACCCGCACAAGUAGCGGAGCAUGUGGUUUAAUUCGAAGCAACGCGAAGAACCUUACCUACACUUGACAUCCCUUGCAUUACUCUUAAUCGAGGAAAUCCCUUCGGGGACAAGGUGACAGGUGGUGCAUGGUUGUCGUCAGCUCGUGUCGUGAGAUGUUGGGUUAAGUCCCGCAACGAGCGCAACCCUUGUCGUUAGUUACUACCAUUAAGUUGAGGACUCUAGCGAGACUGCCUGGGUUAACCAGGAGGAAGGUGGGGAUGACGUCAAAUCACCAUGCCCCUUAUGUGUAGGGCUACACACGUGCUACAAUGGCUGGUACAGAGAGAUGCAAUACCGUGAGGUGGAGCCAAACUUUAAAACCAGUCUCAGUUCGGAUUGUAGGCUGAAACUCGCCUACAUGAAGCUGGAGUUACUAGUAAUCGCGAAUCAGAAUGUCGCGGUGAAUACGUUCCCGGGUCU